UUACGACCAUAUCACGUUGAAAUACCGGUUCCCGUACGAUCAUUGAAGUUAAGCAACGUCGAGCCUGGUCUGUACCUAGCUGGGUGAUCGCUUGAGAU
This 98-nucleotide ribosomal RNA is filed under the name Acanthosepion pharaonis. Lineage: Eukaryota; Metazoa; Mollusca; Cephalopoda; Sepiida; Sepiidae. The record is from RNAcentral.